AGAGUUUGAUCCUGGCUCAGAACGAACGCUGGCGGCGUGGAUAAGACAUGCAAGUCGAACGGAAUAUUUCAGGUAGUAAUAUUUGAAAUGUUCAGUGGCGAACGGGUGCGUAACACGUGGAUUACAUUCCGGGAAGCGGGGGAUAGCCCAGGGAAACUUGGAUUAAUACCGCAUGUGGUCGAAAGACUAAAGGUGGGGACCGCAAGGCCUGCCCCUUCCCGAUUGGUCCGCGGCCUAUCAGCUUGUUGGUGAGGUAAUGGCUCACCAAGGCUACGACGGGUAGCUGGUCUUAGAGGACGACCAGCCACACUGGAACUGAGACACGGUCCAGACACCUACGGGUGGCAGCAGUCGAGAAUCUUUCACAAUGGGGGCAACCCUGAUGGAGCGACGCCGCGUGGAGGAUAAGGUCUUCGGAUUGUAAACUCCUGUCAUGCGAGAACAAGGUAGCUUGGUUAAUAACCUUGCUGCUUGAUGGUACCGCAAGAGGAAGAGACGGCUAACUCUGUGCCAGCAGCCGCGGUAAUACAGAGGUCUCAAGCGUUGUUCGGAAUCACUGGGCGUAAAGGGUGCGUAGGCUGCGCCGUAAGUCAGAUGUGAAAGCUCAGGGCUCAACCCUGAAAUUGCAUCCGAUACUGCGGUGCUA
RNAcentral lists this ribosomal RNA (646 nucleotides) under uncultured bacterium. RNAcentral describes it as "bacterial SSU rRNA". It matches the Rfam family "Bacterial small subunit ribosomal RNA", at positions 8 to 643 of the family's 1533-position model. The record is from RNAcentral.